Sorghum bicolor (sorghum) is the source of this 964-nucleotide long non-coding RNA. RefSeq lists it as uncharacterized. Lineage: Eukaryota; Viridiplantae; Streptophyta; Magnoliopsida; Poales; Poaceae. The record is from RefSeq and is a predicted model, not a curated record. The transcript has 5 exons.
AACAACCUUGUUCCCGCAUCGGCACUUGGGUGGCACCCAAAAACCUAGCCACCGCCGCAUCUUCCAUACGCUCCCCUUCGCCUCACCGUGUUCCUGUACCAACAUUUUGGAUGGCCCAAAAUCCUAGCCUCUGCCACCUCUUUCCUCCUCUCCACUCUACCUCGCCAUGUUGGUGGACCGCAUCUGGACUGUUGGGGGAGGCGGUAUGUUGCACAAUGAUGGCGUGAGUGCCCGCGUGCUGAGCAACCACCUAGAGGUGGCGAUGCGAAUCAACGCUAUCAGAUAUUCAGAUCCGCGAUGGUCUCCACUAGAUCCAUGCCUGGAGAUCAAAAGUGGUAGGAACCACCUCCUCCAUGGCGUGCCGGCGCCGGCCAGCAGCACACUUGUUUAGAGAUCACGGUCGUAUCAAGCAAAGAUGUUGAAUCACGAAAAUAGAGCACCCACCAUUUGUCUCCACCAAUUGCGGUUGCAGCCAACCCUUUUGUGUAUGACCGUGUAUUGGCCAAUACUUGGCAUUUGCCCUCUUGUUAUCCUCAACUCUGCUACCUCCAGUUGUGAAGUCUGAAACUAAAUUGUGUCCUUUGUGUUUUCUACUGAGAAUUUGACAAACAGUGAUAUCCACUUGAAGACUUCUUAUCUUACACAUUGUUGCUAAGCUAUUACACCCUAGUCAACUGAAGAUAAUGUUGACAUCAACAGCUUAUCUGACAUUGCUCUCCAGGACUAACAACAUUCUCUAACCCAUAGAUGUGUCCCUUCUAAGAGCAUGUCUUCCUGUAAUCCUAUGGUUGCUUAAUAUUUUGAGCCAUUGUAGCAAACAGCAGUAAUAGGAUGUACCACCUGAUUCUUGUAUGUUGUUGGCUAAUGGAUCAUUUGUCUGAGUGCCUAAAGAGUAAUGGAACUAGAUAUACAGAUUUACAUUUGUAAAUUCAAAGACCAUAAUAUUGUUGACAAAUUAUUCCUA